UCAGGACGAACGCUGGCGGCGUGCCUAAUACAUGCAAGUCGAACGGUCUUUCUAUGGAAGCUUGCUUCCACUGAGAAGAGUAGUGGCGAACGGGUGAGUAACACGUGGGUAACCUGCCCAUAAGAGGGGGGAUAACAUCCGGAAACGGGUGCUAAUACCGCAUAGUUUUCUUGAUCGCAUGAUCGGGAAAGGAAAGACGGCCUUUGUGCUGUCGCUUAUGGAUGGACCCGCGGCGUAUUAGUUAGUUGGUGAGGUAACGGCUCACCAAGACGAUGAUACGUAGCCGACCUGAGAGGGUGAUCGGCCACAUUGGGACUGAGACACGGCCCAAACUCCUACGGGAGGCAGCAGUAGGGAAUCUUCCGCAAUGGACGAAAGUCUGACGGAGCAACGCCGCGUGAGUGAAAGAAGGUUUUCGGAUCGUAAAACUCUGUUGUCAGAGAAGAACAAGUUGGAGAGUAACUGCUCCAGCCUUGACGGUAUCUGACCAGAAAGCCACGGCUAACUACGUGCCAGCCGCCGC
This 523-nucleotide ribosomal RNA is filed under the name uncultured bacterium. RNAcentral's name for it is "bacterial SSU rRNA". It matches the Rfam family "Bacterial small subunit ribosomal RNA", at positions 24 to 518 of the family's 1533-position model. The record is from RNAcentral.